GCUGGCGCGGGGCGAGGUUAACCGAAAGGGAGCCGGAGCGAAAGCGAGCCUUAACAGGGCGACUUGAGUCCCGCGCCGCGGACGCGAAGCCGGGUGAGCUAUCCGUGGGCAGGCUGAAGCGGGGGUAAGACCCCGUGGAGGGCCGAACGCACGUCGGUUGAAAACGGCGGCGAUGACCUGCGGAUAGGGGUGAAAGGCCAAUCAAACCCGGAGAUAUCUCGUUCUCCCCGAAAUAGCUUUAGGGCUAGCGUCGCGCGUUCACCGCCGGAGGUAGAGCACCGGAUGGACGAGGGGGCUUCGCCGCCUACCGAAUCCAACCGAACUCCGAAUGCCGGCGGCCCAGAGCGCGGCAGUCAGAGCAUGUGGGCUAAGCUGUGUGCUCGAGAGGGAAACAGCCCGGACCGCCCGCUAAGGUCCCCAAGUUCCAGCCGAGUGGCAAAGGAUGUGCGUCCGCCCAGACAACCAGGAUGUUGGCUUAGAAGCAGCCAUCCAUUCAAAGAGUGCGUAACAGCUCACUGGUCGAGUGGACAUGCGCCGACAAUACACGGGGCUAAGCUGGACACCGAAGCGGCGGGAUUUUAUUUAUUAGAAUCGGUAGGGGAGCUUCCCAUGGGCGGAGAAGCCGGAGGGCGACCGACGGUGGAGCGCAUGGGAGUGAGAAUGCUGGCAUGAGUAGCGAGAGACGAGAGAGUAACUCGUCCGCCGUGAACCCGAGGUUUCCUGGGCAAGGCUAAUCCUCCCAGGGUCAGUCGGGGGCUAAGGCGAGGCCGGUAGGCGUAGCCGACGCGCAGCAGGCAGACAUUCCUGCACCGCGCACGCGGCGCUACGACCGACGGGGCGACGGAUGGGGGUGGCUCGGCGGGGUUCUGGACGUCCCCGUGAUGGAGCGCGGCCCGCGGACCAGGGAAAUCCGGUCCGCAGAAGGGCGAGGCUCCGGACGAAGCGACUGAGCGAAGCGAGUGAGCCCGAGGUCCCUAGAAAAACCCCUAGGCAGGCGCGUGCGCGCCCGUACCGCAAACCGACACAGGUGGGUGGGUAGAACAUACCGAGGCGAUCGGGUCAACCAUGGUCAAGGAACUCGGCACAAUGGCCCCGUAACUUCGGGAGAAGGGGUGCCCGCGCGUACGUGAACCGGCUUGCCCGGGGAGCGGAGGCGGGCCGCAGUGGAGAGGCCCAAGCGACUGUUUACCAAAAACACAGGACUCUGCAGAAGCCGCAAGGCGACGUAUAGGGUCUGACGCCUGCCCGGUGCCGGAAGGUCACGCGGAGGAGUUAGCGCAUCGCGCGAAGCCCCGAAGCCAAGCCCCGGUAAACGGCGGCCGUAACUAUAACGGUCCUAAGGUAGCGAAAUUCCUUGUCGGGUAAGUUCCGACCUGCACGAAAGGCGCAACGACUUGGGCGCUGUCUCGACCAUGGACCCGGUGAAAUUGCACUGGUCGUGAAGAUGCGACUUACCCGCGGAAGGACGGAAAGACCCCGUGAACCUUCACUGCAGCUUGGCAUUGGCCGCUGGUCCCGCGUGUAGAGGAUAGGCAGGAGGCAUCGAUCCGGAGGCGCCAGCCCCCGGGGAGCCGCCCUUGGAAUACUGCCCUCGCGCGACCGGCGUCCUAACCCGAGGCCGUCAACCGGCUCGGGGACCGUGCCAGGCGGGCAGUUUGACUGGGGCGGUCGCCUCCUAAAGGGUAACGGAGGCGCGCGAAGGUCCGCUCGGGACGGUCGGCAACCGUCCUUUUGAAUGCAAGAGUACAAGCGGGCUUGACUGCGAGGCCCACAAGCCGAGCAGGUGCGAAAGCAGGCUCUAGUGAUCCGGCGGCCCCGAGUGGGUGGGCCGUCGCUCAACGGAUAAAAGGUACUCCGGGGA
This 1861-nucleotide ribosomal RNA is filed under the name human gut metagenome. Its description in RNAcentral is "bacterial LSU rRNA". It matches the Rfam family "Bacterial large subunit ribosomal RNA", at positions 630 to 2474 of the family's 2925-position model. The record is from RNAcentral.